RNAcentral lists this long non-coding RNA (1298 nucleotides) under Ursus maritimus (polar bear). RNAcentral's name for it is "lncRNA (ENSUMAG00000017344.1)". The record is from RNAcentral. Lineage: Eukaryota; Metazoa; Chordata; Mammalia; Carnivora; Ursidae.
UCAGUAGUUAAGGAUUUUGGUUUGGUUCAGCUUAGGGGCUUUGUGGUCCUUCUCAGGUUUUCAAAAAAUCACUGCCCUCCCCCCAACAUAAAUCCAAAUGUUUUCGAAGUUUUAAUUGAGUUGUGUUCAACCCUUCCCCUGCGCGGCGCCCCCGCCUCGGCCUCGGAGCCCAGCCGAGCGCGAGUUCGCUGCAAGCGGGAUCCGUACCGCUUCCCGCCGGCCCGAAGCCUCCGAGGUAUCCCGGGCGCCGGCGCCUCCGGAGGCUCCUGGGCAGCUCCCGCAGGACAGGAGUACCCUGUUGCCCUCCAGGAGGGAGGCCCGAUGUGGCAACUGAUUGUCGAGCGGGAGAGUCGGAGGCAAGAGAGAAAGCCCCACUUGCCCCAUACCAAUUCUAUCGCUUUUCCCGAGGGGAAAGAGAAAACUAUGCGAGUCCGGUGUCCUCCACUGCCUCCGCCUGCGGUCGAGAAAGCAGGCGUCGGCUCGGGAUUGAGAGGAGGUGCACGUGCAUGUUUGGGAACUGAAGGAGUGAGGAGAUUAGUGCAAUGCUUUGUGCUAGGAGCGAGAGUGAGUCUGGGUAAGGUCUGGGAGGGGCAGUGAGUGUAGCUGUGUUGGUGUCCAGUGGAUGGGUGUGAGCGAGGUUGUAGGGUGGAAAUCCCACCCAGGAAUGUCCAGGGUCACUGUACCUGGCCUCUGUACAGUCACUUGACUCUGUGUCUCCAUCCCCCAGAGCCCCAGCUCAAUCCCCCAAAUGAAAUGAGGCCACCGUGAGAAACCGGGUCCGGCUUUGCAUCUCAUUUACAUAAAUAUUUAUUAAUCGUCAUUAAACUGAACAGAAACACGCAAUGCACUUCGGGUGUCCGACGGGAGUUUCAUCUUCGCUACAAGAGGAAGGUAAAAUUGCGUGUGAGUGUGCGGGUAAGUGUGUGGGUGUGUCGCCUGUGGGUUUGCAUUUUUGCAUCGUGUGUUUGGAUGCCUGAUCUCCUGCCUCCGGUGGCGAGAGGUUCUCCUUUUGCCCCUUUCUCUGGGAAACUUCCAGAAGGAGCCCUCAGCCCUUUCCCUGCCCACCUGCUAACCAGAGCCAAGAGGACGCCUCAGACAAAAAAAACCUCUCCAGCCACAGAAAAACGCCGGGCGCCUGGCGCCCACCGAGGCACAUUCGGGCAGGGGCGGGGCUGGCCCUAGGUCUUGGUCUCCACCCUCAACCCGGGAUGAGGAUUGCCUGCGGGGAGCGAGGGUUCGGCGAGCUCUCCUCCCUCUGUCCCCGGACGCCCGCGCCGGGCCUGCGUGCGCGUGCGGUG